This 28-nucleotide small RNA is filed under the name Bombyx mori (domestic silkworm). RNAcentral describes it as "ovarian small RNA-35257". Lineage: Eukaryota; Metazoa; Arthropoda; Insecta; Lepidoptera; Bombycidae. The record is from RNAcentral.
UGUAAAACAUCUAGUAGAUGUGUUACCU